RNAcentral lists this ribosomal RNA (406 nucleotides) under uncultured bacterium. RNAcentral's name for it is "partial 16S ribosomal RNA". It matches the Rfam family "Bacterial small subunit ribosomal RNA", at positions 30 to 526 of the family's 1533-position model. The record is from RNAcentral.
AUUGAACGCUGGCGGCAGGCCUAACACAUGCAAGUCGAACGAGUGGCGGACGGGUGAGUAAUGACUGGGAAACUGCCUGAUGGAGGGGGAUAACUACUGGAAACGGUAGCUAAUACCGCAUACCAUCGGAUGAGCCCAGAUGGGAUUAGCUAGUAGGUGGGGUAAAGGCUCACCUAGGCGACGAUCCCUACCUGGUCGGAGAGGAGGACCGGCCAUACUGGGACUGAGACACGGUCCAGACUCCUACGGUAGGCAGCAGGGGGUAAUAUUGCACAAUGGGCGCAAGCCUGAUGCAGCCAUGCCGCGUGGAUGAAGAAGGCCUUCGGGUUGUAAAGUACUUUCAGCGGGGAGGCGUUACCCGCAUAAGAAGCACCGGCUAACUCCGUGCCAGCAGCCGCGGUAAUUC